This 173-nucleotide ribosomal RNA is filed under the name Utricularia adpressa. Its description in RNAcentral is "partial 5.8S ribosomal RNA". It matches the Rfam family "5.8S ribosomal RNA". Rfam says of the family: 5.8S ribosomal RNA (5.8S rRNA) is a component of the large subunit of the eukaryotic ribosome. Lineage: Eukaryota; Viridiplantae; Streptophyta; Magnoliopsida; Lamiales; Lentibulariaceae. The record is from RNAcentral.
GACUCUCGCCAACGGAUAUCUUGGCUACCGCAUCGAUGAAGAACGUAGCGAAAUGCGAUACUUGGUGUGAAUUGCAGAGUCCCGUGAACCAUCCAGUCAUUGAACGCAAGUUGCGCCCGAAGCGAUCUCGGCUGAGGGCACGCCUGCCUGGGUGUCACGCAUCGCGUCGCCCC